GCAAAGGGCUCUCUCUCUCUCACACUCACCUAGAGACACGGAGCUUGAAGAAUGAGGAGAAGGAGAAGAAGAAGAUGUCAAAAAUUGAUGCAUCUGCGAUUAUUGGAAGAGCAAUAUCUUAUAAUUGGCUAUUAAAAGUGGUUCUACUAUUUGCUCCCUCCCUUCCUUUUCUCCUCUAUAUGAUGAAAUUUGGUAAACCUUAGUACUCUGUCUCUCUCUCUCUGUCUCUCUCUCUCUCUCUCUUGGCAAGAGCACAGAGAAGAAAUUUCAAGAAAAACAAAGGUGGUUGUCUUUAUUUGAAGGAUUCUCCCAUCUCAGCAAAUCAUUGGUUGUUUUAAGAGAAUGUCAAAUUUGACUUAUUUUUUAGCCCUUGUCCUCUGAUACACAUGGUGAGAAAGAAAAUUUUCGAGGCAUAUCUACCAAGAAAGCUAGAAGCAUUUUCAGGAACAAAGUUGUACAAGAAUUGAAGCGUAAUGCAGAUGAAGCUCAGGAGUUGCUUUAAUUGGAAAGAUCAGUUUAACUUGCAAGUUGACAAGUAGUAAUUAAAGAGUUCCAUACUGGGGAAGUCUGUCUUGGCUUGCCACCCACCCUCAAUAUGCAAACCCCACCCAGCUUUGGGGCCCUUCCUUGAUGCCACAAAUGGAAUAUCAUAAAGCUGCACACAAUAUUUCAAGUAAAUCUUAAAUCCGACAUGGCUCAUUUACAUGGCUAUUUAGGUUUUCAGUGCUUGUUAAUAUAGUGGCUAGUUGUUGUCUGUGCCUACUUUUGAAACUAUCUGUUGAGCUAAUCUUUUUCCAAUUAAUUUUAAAGUCCACUA
This is a non-coding RNA of Camellia sinensis, 817 nucleotides long. The record is from RefSeq and is a predicted model, not a curated record. Lineage: Eukaryota; Viridiplantae; Streptophyta; Magnoliopsida; Ericales; Theaceae.